RNAcentral lists this ribosomal RNA (440 nucleotides) under uncultured bacterium. RNAcentral describes it as "partial 16S ribosomal RNA". It matches the Rfam family "Bacterial small subunit ribosomal RNA", at positions 338 to 795 of the family's 1533-position model. The record is from RNAcentral.
CCUACGGGAGGCAGCAGUGGGGGAUAUUGCACAAUGGGGGAAACCCUGAUGCAGCGACGCCGCGUGAGUGAAGAAGUAUUUCGGUAUGUAAAGCUCUAUCAGCAGGGAAGAAAAUGACAGUACCUGACCAAGAAGCCCCGGCUAACUACGUGCCAGCAGCCGCGGUAAUACGUAGGGGGCGAGCGUUAUCCGGAAUUACUGGGUGUAAAGGGAGCGUAGACGGCGAGGUAAGCCUGAAGUGGAAGCCCGCGGCCCAACCGCGGAACUGCUUUGGGAACUGUUUUGCUGGAGUAUGGGAGGGGUAAGCGGAAUUCCUGGUGUAGCGGUGAAAUGCGUAGAUAUCAGGAGGAACACCGGUGGCAAAGGCGGCUUACUGGACCAUAACUGACGUUGAGGCUCGAAAGCGUGGGGAGCGAACAGGAUUAGAUACCCCUGUAGUC